CCAGAAGGUUAGACGCUUGUCAGUGUCUCAUACGAGAGCAUUAUACGGCAACUCAUUUGAGCAUUUUCCUCUGGUUUUGCAGGAGCCGUGUGGCCACUGUUGGAACUGGAUACGCAUUUGAGGCGCCACAGGCGAUGACAGCCACAGUGUCUGUCUCUGGAAUGAGCAGCUGAUGAAGAGGAACCAAGUGAC
Long non-coding RNA from Grus americana (Whooping crane), 192 nucleotides. RefSeq lists it as uncharacterized. The transcript is spliced from 3 exons. Lineage: Eukaryota; Metazoa; Chordata; Aves; Gruiformes; Gruidae. The record is from RefSeq and is a predicted model, not a curated record.